CUGCGCCUACGAGACGCAGCAGUGGGGGAUAUUGCACAAUGGGGGGAACCCUGAUGCAGCGACGCCGCGUGAACGAAGAAAUAUUUCGGUAUGUAAAGUUCUAUCAGCAGGGAAGAAAAUGACAGUACCUGACCAAGAAGCCCCGGCUAACUACGUGCCAGCAGCCGCGGUAAUACGUAGGGGGCGAGCGUUAUCCGGAUUCACUGGGCGUAAAGGGAGCGUAGACGGCUAUGCAAGUCUGGAGUGAAAGGCGGGGGCCCAACCCCCGGACUGCUCUGGAAACUGUAGAGCUAGAGUGCAGGAGG
Molecule: ribosomal RNA, 305 nt
Filed under: uncultured bacterium
Lineage: Bacteria
Description: bacterial SSU rRNA
Rfam family: Bacterial small subunit ribosomal RNA
Source: RNAcentral